Lutra lutra (Eurasian river otter) is the source of this 341-nucleotide long non-coding RNA. RefSeq lists it as uncharacterized. The transcript has 2 exons. The record is from RefSeq and is a predicted model, not a curated record. Lineage: Eukaryota; Metazoa; Chordata; Mammalia; Carnivora; Mustelidae.
UGAGGUUCUGCCUUUUUUUUUUUUUUUUUUUUUUUUUUUUUUAGAGCCCUUGAGAUCCAGGUUAGGUUUUUGCUUGGAGUAGUUUGGGUGUCCUAUGGUGUUGUGUUACUAUCAUGCACUUAGGUCUGGGGAUGGGGGAAGGUGUUAAGGGGGAGUUCUCCCUGAAGUCUGCAUGGGCCAUGCUGAAUUCAGACUUGCUUUGCAAACUCAUUACAGGUCCUUGCUAUCAAAGGAACGGACCAGAGGCAAGGAAUUCUCUCACUCAAAUGUGUUCUCACUUACUCGUCCCUUCCCAAGUAAUUUCCAAAUUGCUUUAACAAAAAGAAGAAGAAGAAGAAGAA